Molecule: unclassified non-coding RNA, 253 nt
Filed under: uncultured Planctomycetota bacterium
Lineage: Bacteria; Pseudomonadati; Planctomycetota
Description: uncultured planctomycete contains 16S-23S intergenic spacer region
Rfam family: Bacterial small subunit ribosomal RNA
Source: RNAcentral
UACAGAGAUGGCAAGCGUUGUUCGGAAUUACUGGGCAUAAAGGGCACGUAGGCGGGCUGAUUAGUCAGGUGUGAAAUCCCUCGGCUCAACCGAGGAACUGCGCCUGAAACUGUCAGUCUUGAGGGCAGGAGGGGAGAGUGGAACUCUUGGUGGAGCGGUGAAAUGCGUAGAUACCAAGAGGAACGCCGGUGGCGAAAGCGACUCUCUGGCCUGUUUCUGACGCUGAGGUGCGAAAGCUAGGGGAGCAAACAGG